This 360-nucleotide transfer-messenger RNA is filed under the name Campylobacter coli. It matches the Rfam family "transfer-messenger RNA". From Rfam's summary of the family: Bacterial tmRNA, also known as 10Sa RNA or SsrA, is named for its dual tRNA and mRNA-like properties. Its role is to liberate the mRNA from a stalled ribosome. Lineage: Bacteria; Pseudomonadati; Campylobacterota; Epsilonproteobacteria; Campylobacterales; Campylobacteraceae. RNAcentral also lists the same sequence under 1 other name. The record is from RNAcentral.
GGGAGCGACUUGGCUUCGACAGGAGUAAGUCUGCUUAGAUGGCAUGUCGCUUUGGACAAAGCGUAAAAAGUCCAAAUUAAAAUUAAACGCAAAUAACGUUAAAUUCGCUCCUGCUUACGCUAAAGCUGCGUAAGUUCAGUUGAGCCUGAAAUUUAAGUCAUACUAUCUAGCUUAAUUUUCGGUCAUUUUUGAUAGUGUAGCCUUGCGUUUGACAAGCGUUGAGGUGAAAUAAAGUCUUAGCCUUGCUUUUGAGUUUUGGAAGAUGAGCGAAGUAGGGUGAAGUAGUCAUCUUUGCUAAACAUGUAGAAGUCUUUGUGGGGUUAUUUUUGGACAGGGGUUCAAUUCCCCUCGCUUCCACCA